This 519-nucleotide ribosomal RNA is filed under the name uncultured eukaryote. RNAcentral describes it as "bacterial SSU rRNA". It matches the Rfam family "Eukaryotic small subunit ribosomal RNA", at positions 1161 to 1704 of the family's 1831-position model. The record is from RNAcentral.
AGGGCACCACCAGGAGUGGAGCCUGCGGCUUAAUUUGACUCAACACGGGGAAACUCACCCGGCCCGGACACCGGAAGGAUUGACAGAUUGAUAGCUCUUUCUUGAUUCGGUGGAUGGUGGUGCAUGGCCGUUCUUAGUUGGUGGAGCGAUCUGUCUGGUUAAUUCCGAUAACGAACGAGACUCUAGCCUAUUAAAUAGACGUCGGGUUCUCUGCACUCGACGGUCUUCUUAGAGGGACAAGGUGCUUUUAGCACCGCGAAACAGAGCAAUAACAGGUCUGUGAUGCCCUUAGAUGUCCGGGGCUGCACGCGCGCUACACUGAAGGAAUCAGCGUGCUAAAACCAUUGUCGAAAGGCAUUGGUAAACCCCUCAAAAUCCUACGUGAUUGGGAUCGGGAAUUGCAAUUAUUUCCCUUGAACGAGGAAUUCCCAGUAAGUGUGGGUCAUAAGCUCGCGUUGAUUACGUCCCUGCCCUUUGUACACACCGCCCGUCGCUGCCCGGGACUGAGCCGUUUCGAGA